AUGGAGGAGCCCAGGAGCCUGGUGGGCUGCAGUCCGUGGAGUCUCGAAGAGUCGAACACGACUGAGCGACUUCACUUUCACUUUUCACUUUUAUGCAUUGGAGGAGGACAUGGCAACCCACUCCAGUACUCUUGCCUGGAGAAUCCUAGGGAUGGGGGAUUCACAGCUGUUUCAGUCCUCAGCGCGUUUCCUGGAGGACAUGUGAGUGACACUGGGCUACCUUCUCCACCCCCCUUCCAAUCCUGCACUGCUGAUAUGGUGGCCCAGGGGUCUGUGAACUAUCAAGCCUUUCACACGCCCAGCCUUCUGAAAGGCCAGCCCCAUUCUGGAAGGCUCAGCUGGACGAGAGGAGGAGGAAGAGGCUGGAGUUCUUGGGCUGGGAGUGACCAGUCAAGACUGCUUCUUUUCCACCUGCUCCCCUGGUCCUCACCUGCAGGUGAACAGGAGCAAUUUAAGAGAGAAGUGAAAAGGCCCAUCACUUAUUUAACCUACAGCUAAAUUAAGAGCUGGAGUUGAGGUGGUUCCUUGUGUCUGUUCAUGACAAGCUCUGCGAGGAGAAGCAUGCUAGGUUCUAGAUGGCAGAGGUCAGUGAAGCCAGGAUUAAACCAAGAAAGAGGCUGAGCUGGGGCACUUGCUGGGCUUAACCCGGGAGUCCCCACCAUGAAUGGAAUCUGGGAGUCCAACUUACAGGGCAGCAGCUGCCCCAGUUCUAGCAUCCUUGGCAUACGGGUGGACUGUGCCCUCCC
RNAcentral lists this long non-coding RNA (746 nucleotides) under Ovis aries (sheep). Its description in RNAcentral is "lncRNA (ENSOARG00000025965.1)". The record is from RNAcentral. Lineage: Eukaryota; Metazoa; Chordata; Mammalia; Artiodactyla; Bovidae.